This 253-nucleotide ribosomal RNA is filed under the name uncultured bacterium. RNAcentral's name for it is "partial 16S ribosomal RNA". It matches the Rfam family "Bacterial small subunit ribosomal RNA", at positions 524 to 776 of the family's 1533-position model. The record is from RNAcentral.
UACGGGGGGGGCAAGCGUUGUUCGGAAUUACUGGGCGUAAAGGGCUCGUAGGCGGCCAACUAAGUCAGACGUGAAAUCCCCGGGCUUAACCUGGGAAUGGCAUUUGGGACUGCAAGGCUGGAGUUUGGCAGAGGAGACUGGAAUUCCUGGUGUAGCAGUGAAAUGCGUAGAUAUCAGGAGGAAUACCGAUGGCGAAGGCAGGUCUCUGGGCUAUAACUGACGCUCAUGCACGAAAGCGUGGGGAGCAAACAGG